Molecule: ribosomal RNA, 253 nt
Filed under: uncultured bacterium
Lineage: Bacteria
Description: partial 16S ribosomal RNA
Rfam family: Bacterial small subunit ribosomal RNA
Source: RNAcentral
UACGUAGGGGGCAAGCGUUGUCCGGAUUUACUGGGCGUAAAGCGUGCGCAGGCGGUCUAUUAAGUCAGGUGUGAAAUCCCCGGGCUUAACCUGGGAACUGCGCUUGUAACUGAUAGGCUUGAGUGUGGCAGAGGGGGGUGGAAUUCCACGUGUAGCAGUGAAAUGCGUAGAGAUGUGGAGGAACACCGAUGGCGAAGGCAGCCCCCGGGGCGAACACUGACGCUCAUGCACGAAAGCGUGGGGAGCAAACAGG